This 661-nucleotide long non-coding RNA is filed under the name Olea europaea (common olive). RNAcentral describes it as "long non-coding RNA (OEUR_LNC011994)". Lineage: Eukaryota; Viridiplantae; Streptophyta; Magnoliopsida; Lamiales; Oleaceae. The record is from RNAcentral.
GGUAAUUGGCACAAAACGUCCCUACCUUUCAAGUCUAUUGUGGAAAACGUUCCUACCUUUCAUUUUUUGGCAUUUUUGCCCUCAUUUCAACCUUUCUUUGCGCUGGACGUCCUUCCGUCUAUAUUCCGUCAGUUUUUCCGUUAAACAUUCGGGUAAUUGGCACAAAACGUCCCUACCAUUCAAGUCUAUUGUGAAAAACGUCCCUACCUUUCAUUUUUUGACAUUUUUGCCCUUAUUUCAACCUUUCUUUGCGCUGGACGUCCUUCUGUCCAUAUUCCGUCAGUUUUUUCGUUAAUUAAAUACAAAAAUACCUUUUUCUUUCCAUAAACAAGGGUAAAAUUGUCCUCACCCACUUCACCCCUUUUUCCCGCCAUCAACUUAGUCCAUAAGUAACAAUAGCAGCAACAUGAAUCUGAAAAUACUUUAAAUGAUUAAGUUAAAUAAAGAAAAAAUAUCGUAAACACAUUAUAUUUCACAAUUCCACAACUACUGUUGCUGUCAUCUUGUGUCACUAAAAAAAUUUAGAAAGACAUAUUAAAUGGGUAGUCAAUUUAUAAUGAGUCAAUUUAAAAUGAGCAAUUCAUCUUCUCCAUUGAGCCAAAAAGAGCCAUUCACCAUUUUGGCUUAUUAUAAAUUGACUACCCAUUUAAUACGUCUUUCU